This 252-nucleotide ribosomal RNA is filed under the name uncultured bacterium. RNAcentral's name for it is "partial 16S ribosomal RNA". It matches the Rfam family "Bacterial small subunit ribosomal RNA", at positions 524 to 776 of the family's 1533-position model. RNAcentral also lists the same sequence under 1 other name. The record is from RNAcentral.
UACGUAGGGGGCUAGCGUUGUCCGGAUUUACUGGGCGUAAAGGGUGAGUAGGCGGUUACAUAAGUCAGAUGUAAAAGGCUAAGGCUUAACCAUAGUAUGCAUUUGAAACUGUGUGACUUGAGUACAGGAGAGGUAAGUGGAAUUCCUAGUGUAGCGGUGAAAUGCGUAGAUAUUAGGAGGAACACCAGUGGCGAAGGCGACUUACUGGACUGUAACUGACGCUGAGUCACGAAAGCGUGGGUAGCAAACAGG